GAUGAACGCUGGCGGCGUGCCUAAUACAUGCAAGUCGAGCGAACGGACGAGAAGCUUGCUUUUCUGAUGUUAGCGGCGGACGGGUGAGUAACACGUGGAUAACCUACCUAUAAGACUGGGAUAACUUCGGGAAACCGGAGCUAAUACCGGAUAAUAUUUUGAACCGCAUGGUUCAAAAGUGAAAGACGGUCUUGCUGUCACUUAUAGAUGGAUCCGCGCUGCAUUAGCUAGUUGGUAAGGUAACGGCUUACCAAGGCAACGAUGCAUAGCCGACCUGAAAGGGUGGUCGGCCACACUGGAACUGAGACACAGUCCAGACUCCUACGGGAGGCAGCAGUAGGGAAUCUUCCGCAAUGGGCGAAAGCCUGAUGGAGCAACGCCGCGUGAGUGAUGAAGGUCUUCGGAUCGUAAAACUCUGUUAUUAGGGAAGAACAUAUGUGUAAGUAACUGUGCACAUCUUGACGGUACCUAAUCAGAAAGCCACGGCUAACUACGUG
This 497-nucleotide ribosomal RNA is filed under the name uncultured bacterium. RNAcentral's name for it is "partial 16S ribosomal RNA". It matches the Rfam family "Bacterial small subunit ribosomal RNA", at positions 28 to 507 of the family's 1533-position model. The record is from RNAcentral.